UGGGGAUUCUUCCGCAAUGGGCGAAAGCCUGACGGAGCAAUACCGCGUGAGGGAGGAAGGCUCUUGGGUUGUAAACCUCUUUUCUCAGGGAAGAGAAAAAUGACGGUACCUGAGGAAUAAGCAUCGGCUAACUCCGUGCCAGCAGCCGCGGUAAUACGGAGGAUGCAAGCGUUAUCCGGAAUGAUUGGGCGUAAAGCGUCCGCAGGUGGCUGUGUAAGUCUGCUGUUAAAGAGUCUGGCUCAACCAGAUAAAGGCAGUGGGAACUACACGGCUAGAGUGCGUUCGGGGCAGAGGGAAUUCCUGGUGUAGCGGUGAAAUGCGUAGAGAUCAGGAAGAACACCGGUGGCGAAAGCGCUCUGCUAGGCCGCAACUGACACUGAGGGACGAAAGCUAGGGGAGCGAAUGGGAUUAGAUACCCCAGUAGUC
RNAcentral lists this ribosomal RNA (426 nucleotides) under uncultured Tolypothrix sp. Its description in RNAcentral is "bacterial SSU rRNA". It matches the Rfam family "Bacterial small subunit ribosomal RNA", at positions 355 to 795 of the family's 1533-position model. Lineage: Bacteria; Bacillati; Cyanobacteriota; Cyanophyceae; Nostocales; Tolypothrichaceae. The record is from RNAcentral.